UUUAGAAAAAUACAUGGACUCUUAUGAUAUUGUUUUGGUAAAAGAAGAAUCACUGGAGGUCGCCAACUCUAUUUUACAGAAGAUUCUAUAAACAAGCAUUUUUCAAGAAAACGUCUCCCAUGGGUGCAAAUGAUACAAGAUUUACUCAUCUGUCCAUCUAGCUGAAAGACUCUUUAUUUAUAAAUAUAUUCUUGCUCUUGAAGUUUUCUCUUUACAUAACUGAAAUAUUUUCAGACAUGUUGAGUCCAUCUCCUGGAAGCUCCUUUCCCCCCACCUCUUUCAAUACACUCCUCAUCAUAUUUUUUAACCCCUAAAAAAAAUGUUGAAGCCAAAAUUAGGAAAAACUACCCCGUACUUUUCCAAAGUGAAUUUUGUAGCUUAAUGUUAUCAUGCAGUUUUUGAAGAAUCUUUUUACACCAGGAAUGUUUAUAGAUGUUUUUAAAAAGUUUUACGAAAUGGUGAGAUAAUGUGCAUGAUUUUAAGUAUUGCCAUUUAUAUAAUUUGGGUGGAUUGUGCUAAUGGUAUCACCAUCUCCUGAAAUUGUUAUAUUUUGUGUGAGAAAACCAAUAUUUACCAAAAAAGAGUGGCAUUUAAUAUUUGAAAAGACUGUUGGUGGCCAUGUGUCACUAAUCAUCACAAAACAUUCAAAUGAAGCACUGAUAAUAAAUAUGAAAUGAAAAGCCUUUUUAAUUCUACUGACAAGACUAUUUUUAUUAAUUUAUUCAGCAAAUAUUUAUUGAAUACCUGUCUUGUUUUUUCCUUUCUUCUUAUCUUUCAUUUUGUAAUAUGUGAAUCC
RNAcentral lists this long non-coding RNA (796 nucleotides) under Marmota monax (woodchuck). The record is from RNAcentral. Lineage: Eukaryota; Metazoa; Chordata; Mammalia; Rodentia; Sciuridae.